GCCCAGGUGGUGGAAUGGUAGACACGAAGGACUUAAAAUCCUUUGGCCAGUACGGCCGUGCGGGUUCGAGUCCCGCCCCGGGCA
This 84-nucleotide transfer RNA is filed under the name Saprospiraceae bacterium. RNAcentral's name for it is "tRNA-Leu". It matches the Rfam family "tRNA". Rfam says of the family: Transfer RNA (tRNA) molecules are approximately 80 nucleotides in length. Their secondary structure includes four short double-helical elements and three loops (D, anti-codon, and T loops). Lineage: Bacteria; Pseudomonadati; Bacteroidota; Saprospiria; Saprospirales; Saprospiraceae. The record is from RNAcentral.